AAUAGCCUAACGGCUGAACCAGCAACUUGGAGGAAUGUAUGGCGAAAGCUAAUUGUAUCAUGUUUAUUUGGUAUGAUGUCGAUUUAAUCGAAUAAAAUUCUGGGUGGAAUUUAAAAAAGAUAUUUUCUAUCUAUAUUUCUUGACUAAACCACGUGCCAGCAGUCGCGGCAAUACGUAGCAGAUUAGUGUUAUUCAUCUUUAUUAGGUUUAAAGGGUACCUAGACAGCAAAUAAAGCUUUUAAAAAUUAAAUUUGAUAGGACUAAUUAGCUAGAGUUACUUAUGAGGAGGCUAAUAGGUACUUUCGGUGUAGAGAUGAAAUUCUUUGAUACCCUACCAUAGUUAUUAAUGGCACAGAUAAAGGCGAAAGCAUCUUCUUAUGUGAUAACUGACGUUGAGGGACGAAGGCUUUGCUAACAAACAGGAUUAGUUACCCUAUUAAUUAAGGCAGAAAAUGAUGAGUGUCAUAGAUUAGGUAAAACUUAUUCUAUAAAUUAAAGUGUAAGCACUCCACCUCAAGAGUAAUUUGGCAACAUCGGAACUGAAAUCAUUAGACCGUUUCUGAA
RNAcentral lists this ribosomal RNA (564 nucleotides) under Phyllopsora atrocarpa. RNAcentral describes it as "SSU rRNA". It matches the Rfam family "Bacterial small subunit ribosomal RNA", at positions 370 to 925 of the family's 1533-position model. The record is from RNAcentral. Lineage: Eukaryota; Fungi; Ascomycota; Lecanoromycetes; Lecanorales; Ramalinaceae.